UCGAGAAUCUUCGGCAAUGGGCGCAAGCCUGACCGAGCGACGCCGCGUGGAGGAUGAAGGCCUUCGGGUUGUAAACUCCUGUCGAGGGGGAAAAAGGGUCGAAAGGCCUUGAUUGAUCCCUGGAGGAAGCACGGGCUAAGUUCGUGCCAGCAGCCGCGGUAAGACGAACCGUGCGAACGUUAUUCGGAAUCAUUGGGCUUAAAGCGCGUGUAGGCGGAUUCGUGCGUCUGUCGCUGAAAUCCCCCGGCUCAACCGGGGAAGUGGCGUGGAUACGACGAGUCUGGAGGGGCAUAGGGGGACCUGGAACUUCCGGUGGAGCGGUGAAAUGCGUUGAGAUCGGAAGGAACGCCCGUGGCGAAAGCGAGGUCCUGGAUGCCUACUGACGCUGAGACGCGAAAGCCAGGGGAGCGAACG
Molecule: ribosomal RNA, 414 nt
Filed under: uncultured Singulisphaera sp.
Lineage: Bacteria; Pseudomonadati; Planctomycetota; Planctomycetia; Isosphaerales; Isosphaeraceae
Description: bacterial SSU rRNA
Rfam family: Bacterial small subunit ribosomal RNA
Source: RNAcentral